UUCAUAUUUUUAAGUGCUACUUUUUAUUGUCUACAUCGAAAAAACGCACUAAUUUAAGGUACCCGUAUUUUUUUUAUUUUGCGUAAGUCCUAUAUUUUGGUCAUAAAAUCUAUUUAUAUUGUUACUUGAAACAAAAGGGCGUAUGUAACAAACGUCAUUUGUGAGAAUCGUGACGUCACGGAUCUGUUUCAUACACUGGAAAAAACGUUGAAUUAAUUUACGUUUGAGCAUAGACAACAGUGCGAGUCACAUAACUUCAAACGUUAAAAAUAAAAUCACAAAUUAACAAGUGUCACAAACUUCAAAACUCAAGUCAAACGAUUGGUUUUCAUCCCGUUUUCAAUAAUAUUUGUUUCUAGAAAUGCCUCGUAUUAAACAUUGUUUUUUCAAAACAUGCCAAAACAACACUGGUUUGUCGGCGAAAAAGAAGUUUUUUACUGUUCCGACGGACAAUAAAGCUCAGUGGUGUGCAGCAGCCGGCUGGGAUCAUGUACCUACAAGGGCAUUAUUUAUUUGCGAAGAUCAUCUGAAUGUAUGUACCUAAUAUCAGAAUGUAUGUAACUAUGUACUAUGAAGUGCCGGUAUAGCUCGGUGAUAAGACGCGUUACCUAUUGUGGGAGUAUAAAUAGGUCAUGGUUAAAGAAAGUACCGUAGAGUCCAUUAAAAUGCAGGGUCGUUUGGAAAGUCGUGAUAAUUCAGUGUCGUAAAUAAUAAAAUCACACAAGAAAAAUAUCCGAACAAUGUGAACUGUUAGUAAACCAUUGUCAAGUGUCACUGGUAGUGAAGUGACAAUGACAAUGACAAUGUCAACCCAAUCGGAAGUCAUUUCUUUGCUUGUAGUGGCAGAACUGAAGCAGCUGGGUGACGUCAAUUUCCGUUUUAACUAUUUUUAGAGAUUUUGAAUACAAAAAAUCGUAAAAAAUAUAUAAAA
This is a long non-coding RNA of Cydia fagiglandana, 931 nucleotides long. RefSeq lists it as uncharacterized. The record is from RefSeq and is a predicted model, not a curated record. Lineage: Eukaryota; Metazoa; Arthropoda; Insecta; Lepidoptera; Tortricidae. The transcript is spliced from 2 exons.